UACGGAGGGGGCAAACGUUAUUCGGAUUUACUGGGCGUAAAGGGUUCGUAGGCGGUUUUUUAAGUUAGAUGUGAAAGCUUGAAGCUUAACUUCAAAAUAGCAUCUAAAACUGAAUUACUAGAUUCUUGGAGAGGUAGAUGGAAUUACCGGUGUAGCGGUGAAAUGCGUAGAUAUCGGUAGGAACACCAGUGGCGAAAGCGAUCUACUGGACAAGUAAUGACGCUGAGGGACGAAAGCGUGGGUAGCAAAC
RNAcentral lists this ribosomal RNA (250 nucleotides) under uncultured bacterium. RNAcentral describes it as "partial 16S ribosomal RNA". It matches the Rfam family "Bacterial small subunit ribosomal RNA", at positions 524 to 773 of the family's 1533-position model. The record is from RNAcentral.